UACGAAGGGGGCGAGCGUUAUUCGGAAUCACUGGGCGUAAAGCGUGCGUAGGCGGUUUUGUAAGUUGGAAGUGAAAGCCCAGGGCUUAACCCUGGAAUUGCUUUCAAAACUACAAGACUCGGAUUCGGGAGAGGAUAGCGGAAUUGUCAGUGUAGCAGUGAAAUGCGUAGAUAUUGACAGGAACACCAGUGGCGCAAGCGGCUAUCUGGACCGACAUCGACGCUGAGGCACGAAAGCGUGGGGAUCAAACAGG
Molecule: ribosomal RNA, 253 nt
Filed under: uncultured bacterium
Lineage: Bacteria
Description: partial 16S ribosomal RNA
Rfam family: Bacterial small subunit ribosomal RNA
Source: RNAcentral